CCAGCCAGAGCUCUCCUGUAUGAGAUGUCCGACCACUGCUGGGAGGGGCCCUGGUGGUGUAGGCACCCGAGGGAAUCUCCUGGUCUGUAAGUUGCAAAGACUGUGGGAAAAGCAUAGUAUCUGGGCCAGAAUGCGCCAUUCCUCAUGGCACAGUACCUCACAGCUUCCCUUGGCUAGGGGAGGGAGUUCCCCAAUCCCUUGUGCUUCCUGGGUGAUGUGACACCCCACCCUGCUUCAGCUCACCCUCCAUGGGCUACACCCACUGUCUAACCAGUCCCAGUGAGAUGAGCUGGGUACCUCAGUUGGAAAUGCACAAAUCACCCGCCUUCUGCAUUGAUUUCACUGGGAGCUAGCUGCAGACCAGAGCUGUUCCUAUUCGGCCAUCUCGCCAGCCACCGAAUUAGUAAAAUUUUAACACGUGCCUUGAAUUGUAUUCAGCACUUCUACACUCAUUACUGUAUCUUUGAAACACAGUUUGAAACACCAAGCCUCCUCCCAGCAAUGCCAGCAGCUCACUUUGUGACACUGAACCGUACAAUGCUCUUGGCCUUUCCAUCUGCAGAGUGGGCACAGACACCUAUAACUAAUUGAAAGAGAUAAUGUCUAAGAGAGCUGCCAGAUCCAGGAUUCUUUUCUCUUGAGCAAGACAUUUCAAUGACUCUUCUGGACUUGACUUUCUCCUCUGUAAAACAGGUUUACCACCUUUCAUUGAAUUCAACACAGGAUUCAACAAACAUCAGCCAAAAGGCCCAUUUUUGCACAGCCCAUGCGCUAAGACUAUUUCCUCACAUUUUUAAAUGGUUAAAAAAUCAAAAGAAUAACAUUUCAUGCCGCA
This 835-nucleotide long non-coding RNA is filed under the name Homo sapiens (human). RNAcentral's name for it is "non-protein coding lnc-ISX-5:1". The record is from RNAcentral. Lineage: Eukaryota; Metazoa; Chordata; Mammalia; Primates; Hominidae.